AGAAGAUUGAAGUAAAAUCUUUGGAGAUUCAGAAGAAGAUUGAAGUAAAAUCUUUGGAGAUUCAGAAGAAGAUUGAAGUAGAAUCUUUGAAGGUUCAGGUAUUACCUCUA
Molecule: long non-coding RNA, 110 nt
Organism: Papaver somniferum (opium poppy)
Lineage: Eukaryota; Viridiplantae; Streptophyta; Magnoliopsida; Ranunculales; Papaveraceae
Exons: 3
Source: RefSeq, a predicted model, not a curated record